AUGUCCUCCGCCUGCGACGACGACCACGCCUCGCUCCUCAGAUCCCACCCGGCCGCCGUCGCCGGAGGGGCGGGCGCCACCUCGUCGUCGUCGCUGUCGUGCCCCUCGCCGCGCGCGGCCGCCGGCCACCGCCACGUCGACGUCGAGGCGGCCGACGGGACCGCCUCCCCGAGGCGCCCCGGGGGCGUGCGCGGCCUCCUGCGCCACCUCGACCGCCGCGUCCAUGCCCGCGGAUCUGCGCGCCGGCAGCAGCAGCAGCUCGAUCGCCUCCCCGAGCAGCCGUCUGCCGCGCCGUCGCAGCCGCAGAGGGAGAGGGCGGGGGAGGAGCUCGGGGACGGGGCGCCCCCCGAGUGGGCGCUGCUGCUCAUUGGCUGCCUCCUCGGGCUCGCCACCGGCAUCUGCGUCGCCGCGUUCAACCGCGGGGUUCAUGUCAUCCAUGAUUGGGCGUGGGCAGGUACUCCCAACGAAGGUGCAGCUUGGCUCCGUCUACAGAGGUUAUCUGAUACUUGGCACAGAAUACUGCUGAUCCCUGUGUCAGGAGGUGUAAUCGUAGGAAUGAUGCACGGGUUACUUGAGAUUUUUGAGCAGCUCAAACUUGCGAAACAACCGCAGAACCAAGGAAUCAGUUUACUUGCAGCAAUCUUUCCAACUGUAAAGGCUGUACAGGCUGCCGUGACUCUGGGGACCGGUUGCUCAUUGGGGCCUGAAGGUCCUAGUGUGGAUAUUGGUAAAUCAUGUGCACUCGGGUGCUCAGAAAUGAUGGAGAACAAUCGCGAAAGACGGAUCGCUCUUGUGGCUGCUGGGGCUGCUGCUGGAAUUGCUUCAGGCUUUAAUGCAGCAGUUGCUGGGUGUUUCUUUGCCAUUGAGACUGUAUUGCGGCCCCUAAAAGCAGAAAAUGCACCUCCUUUUACAACUGCUAUGAUAAUAUUGGCAUCAGUUAUAUCAUCUACUGUAUCAAACGUUUUACUUGGAGAAAGACCAGCGUUUACAGUGCCGGCAUAUGAGCUGAAAUCUGCUGCUGAGCUACCUCUAUACCUCAUCUUAGGAAUGCUUUGUGGGGCAGUCAGUGUGGUAUUUGGACGGUUGGUAGUAUGGUUUUCAAGAUUUUUUGCGUACAUGAAAGAAAGGUUUGAUUUUCCCAUUGUAGUGUACCCUGCUUUAGGUGGGCUUGGAGCUGGCCUCAUAGCCCUCAAAUAUCCAGGGAUUUUAUACUGGGGUUUCACAAAUGUUGAAGAAAUAUUGCAUACUGGGAAGAGUGCUUCUGCUCCUGGUAUCUGGUUGUUAACUCAACUUGCAGCUGCGAAGGUAGUUGCGACCGCCCUUUGCAAGGGCUCUGGUCUUGUGGGUGGGCUAUAUGCUCCAAGCUUGAUGAUCGGGGCUGCUGUUGGAGCUACUUUUGGAGGGUCAGCUGCAUACUUAAUAAAUGCAGCUAUACCUGGUAGUGCUGCUGUUGCACAGCCACAAGCUUAUGCUCUUGUUGGGAUGGCUGCGACAUUGGCUUCAGUCUGCUCAGUCCCGUUGACUUCCGUAUUGCUUCUCUUUGAGCUGACAAAGGAUUACAGGAUUUUGCUACCUCUGAUGGGAGCGGUUGGACUGGCAAUAUGGGUUCCUUCUGUGGUAAACCAACCAAAUGAUGGUGAAUCUUCAGGGUUUAGAGCACCCACGCGUGGUUAUUCUUUAGUUUCACUACAAGAUAAAAAUAGUAGUGUCUGGACGCGAAGUGAUUCCGUAGAUGAUCUUGAGCUUACUAUCUCACAAAGUGGCCUUCGUAACUAUGGUACCUACCAAGAGGAAGUGCUUCUAGAUGAUUUGAAGGUCUCCCAGGCCAUGUCAAAGAGAUAUGUUAAAGUUCCACCAUCUGCCACAGUGACAGAAACUCUCGCUUUAUUGAGUGAUAAGCAGCAAAUGUGCGCCCUUGUUGUGGAUCAUGAAGAUUUUCUUGAGGGGCUUAUUACAUUAGGGGAUAUUAGCCGUAUGGGCUUUGAACUGGACGGGGAAAGUUACUUAAGUGGAGACCAGCUCAACUCUGAUGAAGCCUGUUCAACCAUCUCGUCGUGUCUCACUCGAGGGUUCCAGUACCAGGGGAGUGAGUGCGGACUGCUAACAUGCUUUCCAGAUACCGAUUUGACCACUGCCAAAAACCUUAUGGAGGCCAGAGGGAUAAAGCAGCUGCCUGUCGUUAAGCGUGGCGUCGGGCAUAAAACCGAAAGAAGGCGCAAGCUUGUUGCCCUUCUCUAUUAUGAUUCUAUCGGCCACUGCUUACGGGAGGAGAUUAAGAACUGGAAAGCUAUAUACCAAAGAAAAGAAGAUUUCCACAUUUUAGCUACUGGUCACACAUUACAGUGA
Molecule: ribosomal RNA, 2346 nt
Filed under: Triticum aestivum (bread wheat)
Lineage: Eukaryota; Viridiplantae; Streptophyta; Magnoliopsida; Poales; Poaceae
Description: partial small subunit ribosomal RNA
Source: RNAcentral